UACGGAGGGUGCGAGCGUUAAUCGGAAUUACUGGGUGUAAAGGGCGUGUAGGCGGCACUGUAAGUCAGAUGUGAAAUCUCCCGGCUCAACCGGGAGCGUGCAUCUGAUACUGCAGUACUUGAGUGAUAGAGGGGAAAGCGGAAUUCCUAGUGUAGCGGUAAAAUGCGUAGAUAUUAGGAGGAACACCAGUAGCGAAGGCGACUUUCUGGACACAAACUGACGCUGAGGUACGAAAGCGUGGGGAGCAAACAGG
This 253-nucleotide ribosomal RNA is filed under the name uncultured bacterium. RNAcentral describes it as "partial 16S ribosomal RNA". It matches the Rfam family "Bacterial small subunit ribosomal RNA", at positions 524 to 776 of the family's 1533-position model. The record is from RNAcentral.